RNAcentral lists this long non-coding RNA (537 nucleotides) under Rattus norvegicus (Norway rat). RNAcentral describes it as "long non-coding RNA NONRATT024574". Lineage: Eukaryota; Metazoa; Chordata; Mammalia; Rodentia; Muridae. The record is from RNAcentral.
GUGAAGAUCAACAGCCGGGGGCUGGUCUAUUCCGUGGUGCUGCUGCUGGGCUCUGUGGCUCUCACUGUGAGUUUUACCAUUUCCAAAUGGGAGCGCCGUGCACACCUCAUCUCAUCCAGCUCAGCCUGGCCGGGCACAUCUCCCUGUGACUUGCCCUCCAGGGUGAGGUCCUUGGCAUCCACCUCAACAAAUGGCGCCUGGACAGGAAGCUGGGCAUCUACGUGCUGGUCCUCUAUGCCGUCUUUCUGUGCUUCUCAAUAAUGAUAGAGUUUAACGUCUUUACCUUCGUCAACUUGCCCAUGUGCAGAGAAGACGACUAAAGCUGAGCUGUCACCCAGGAAAGUGCUGUGGCCACCACGGGGCUGGUGUCCUCUCUCUCUCUUUCUCCGCACAGGUCUCGACUGCCUUGGCAGCCACUGUCAACUCUUUCAUGAGCUGGAAGGAAGGGCCACCAUGGUCUUUGGUCAUGGGCCAAGCUGCUGGGCAUCUGUCCCUGCGUGACAGGGUCCAGUCAUUAUUUGAACAGCUCCACAGACU